Molecule: unclassified non-coding RNA, 330 nt
Organism: Macaca fascicularis (crab-eating macaque)
Lineage: Eukaryota; Metazoa; Chordata; Mammalia; Primates; Cercopithecidae
Rfam family: Metazoan signal recognition particle RNA
About the family: The signal recognition particle (SRP) is a universally conserved ribonucleoprotein. It is involved in the co-translational targeting of proteins to membranes.
Source: Ensembl
UCUGGGUGCAGUGGCAUGCGUACCUGUAGUCCUGGCCACUUGGGAGACUGAGGCAGGAGGCUCACUUGAGCCCAGGAGUUCAGAGUUGUAGCCGAUUAGGUGUCUGCACUAAGCUUGCCAUCAAUAUAGUGACUUCCUGGGAGUGGAGGACGACAGGUUUCCUAAGGAGGGGUGAACUGGUCCAGGUUGGAAACAAGGGAAUGUUAAAAAUACCAUGGGCACGGUAGCUCACACCUGUAAUCCUAGCACUUUGGGAGGCUGCAGCAGGAGGAUCAAUUGAGCCCAGGAGUUGGAGAUCAGCCUGAGUAAUGCAGUGAGACCCUGUCCCUA